RNAcentral lists this long non-coding RNA (976 nucleotides) under Hordeum vulgare. Its description in RNAcentral is "long non-coding RNA (HVUL_LNC016396)". Lineage: Eukaryota; Viridiplantae; Streptophyta; Magnoliopsida; Poales; Poaceae. The record is from RNAcentral.
GGUCACCAGGUGUGGAAAGAUGGUGGACGCCGGUCCAGAUCGCUCGACGGGUUCUUCCCAGGCGCCCCGCACGAGGAGAGGUACUUCCCUUCCACCCCUAUCUCUCCGUAGAGCCUUGGCAGACAGUCUGUCGACACCACCCGUGGAUUCUUCUUCGUCGGCGGCAUUGCCCACUGGGAGAGGUGCUGGUCGGGUAGGGAAGAAGGGGAAGGGUACAGGGAGAGGUGGUGGCCGCGGAAGAUCCAGGAGGAAUAUUGAGCCAUCCUCGCCACCACCACCAGCUCAUUAACCCGAGCAUAGGACUACUAUGGUCGACCCGUUUGCGGAGGAGGCUAUGGGGACUCCGUUCCAGGAGCCUGUUGUUGACGAGCAUUUGUCCCAUGAGACUCCGGUCCAGGAGCAGGCUCGGGUCGAGGUGCAUUCGGCCCAAGAGCAGCCGGAGGAGACUACGGUUCCGGAGGCUUCACCCGACGUGGAGAGGCCCGGAUGGGAGACCUGGCCGGAUCGUACCUAGUUGCCGGAUUGGACCGAGGGUCCGGGUGGCUCAGGAGGCGGGGAUGGCGGGGAUGAGCUUACGGAUAGUGAGGGCGAUGUGCAAGUGGACAGGGCCACCGUGUACAAGCGUGGUAGUACACGUCUUCCGGUCGCGCCGGCUACCCGCGAGCAGAGGCCGGUGAUUAAACCUGAAGGAGAUAGGUAAGUACAUUUACUCUUUUUUUAGCUUUUGCCUUCAAGUUUGUUCAAAUAUCUAAUGCGUUGACCUUAUCAUCCUGCAGGGGAUGGGUACACCCUCUUGGAGUCCGCAGGCCGAACUCCAUCCUUGGUGUGCUUUGCCGGACUAAUUUCUCGGGGUUUGUCACGUUGCCUGGUGAGGGUCAGGUUCCUACACUAGGAUUUUCCUAGGAGCACUACCAGGCUGCGCAGGCCCCGCCGGAGGAGAUUAUAGAUGGUGUCUUGUGCCACACGAGGGCCGAGA